RNAcentral lists this transfer RNA (75 nucleotides) under Planctomycetota bacterium. RNAcentral's name for it is "tRNA-Cys". It matches the Rfam family "tRNA". Rfam says of the family: Transfer RNA (tRNA) molecules are approximately 80 nucleotides in length. Their secondary structure includes four short double-helical elements and three loops (D, anti-codon, and T loops). The record is from RNAcentral. Lineage: Bacteria; Pseudomonadati; Planctomycetota.
GGCGGCGUAGCCAAGUGGUAAGGCAAUGGUUUGCAAAACCAUCAUUCACCAGUUCGACUCUGGUCGCCGCCUCCA